Molecule: long non-coding RNA, 2207 nt
Organism: Lagopus muta (rock ptarmigan)
Lineage: Eukaryota; Metazoa; Chordata; Aves; Galliformes; Phasianidae
Exons: 5
Source: RefSeq, a predicted model, not a curated record
CUGCUCUGCUGGGGUUUUGUGAGUGAGCCCAGGAUAGGGCUGCAGACUUCAUGAAGCUAUGAUAUCUCUGAACACACAGCUACACUCCUUAAUCUCCAAAUGAAACACCACCUAAGUACCUGGUUAAAAGGGCAGCAGCCAAGGUCUGGGCUGGAAGAGGGAGCAGGUCACACAGCAGAAGUUCCGGGACCCACUAUAAGACAGACUAUGAUGGUCCACGGAUAUCCAAAACUUAAUGAUCUGCUGAGCAUGGAUGAUAACUGGGCUGACAUUACUUCUAAACCAAAGGUUAGACCAAUAUCAGAGGAUAGGCCCCGUGGUUUCCUGUAACUGGCUACUGACAUGGGCUGGAGGACCAGAUCAUUAUCUCCUAUGGGAUGCACCCACCAAGGCAAACUUUAGAGUGGGUGCCCUUCACCCAUUACCCAAAAUGCUAUCUCCAAGCUUCUUAUUAGCCGUGAUCCCCAGGGGGAACCUCAAGGGGCAAUGUGUGGAAGCAGGCUCACUCACCACAUAAACAGAAUACAAUUUUCUUUUAUGUUAGCCUGCAGAUUGCAAGCCACCUCUAUAAAGAGCUCUCUGUCUCCUCACUUUGGCAGGAUUCCUUGUCUCUCUGCACCAAAGCUGUAUUCAUAUCAGUGUGUGGUCACUGUAAGAACAGUGCCUGCCUUUUUAGAAUAGACAAAGGGAGUUAGCAUACCAGAUGCUGGCGCCCUGCUCAGGCUGUGCAGUGCUCUGCCCCACCAGCAGCCCCAGGGAAUACCCAACCUAAGCACACAUGAGCAUGGCAACAGGGUCUAGUGGCCAGUCUUUGAAUUCAUGAAUUCUCUCUACAGCUCAUGUUCUUUCAAACGAACGAAUGCAGCAAUUAAUACACAAUGAUCAAAUCGUUAUAACAGUGAUGGUGACGAGUGAGAAGAAUGCUGAUCUUGGAAAACAGCAGGCUACAGGGAAAUUUGCAGUUCAGUAUUAACUCCAGAGUCUGAACUCUGUAACUUAUGCCCACCAUGUAUUCUUUCCAUUUACCUUUAAGGACUAGCCCCUGGGUGACAAGCAUGAUCCCAAGAGACAAAGGAAGAGCUGUAAGAACAAAAAGAACAGAUGUACAGUAUUAGACAGAAUUUGUUACUCGCUUGUUAACUUUCAUAUGUUAAACACUUGUUUUAUAUGAUUAUAAUGCUGAAUAUAUUACUCAUCUUUUAAAAACUAAUUUAGUGUGCUGUUUAAAUUACCUGCUACACCUGCUUGUUCAGAUUACUAUCUCUUUGAGGUGAGGAUGUGUUCAUGCUCUGCCAGACAGAUUCUGUGGCACCUGGAACAAAUGCAUUAUAUUCAAUUUUCUCCUUUCAGAAAAUAUAUAAUUUAGAGACAACCUGACACUGGACUAAAAAGGCACUGAACCCUUGAGUAUCUAACCUUUAAGAUGUUCUAAAAUCUAAAGAAUUACACAAUCUCAAGCUAUACAGCCACGCCUCCCUUUCAUUCAAUUGCACAGGAAUGUGAUAAAGAACUCCUAAUGUUGUUUUAAUAAUUGGCUUCAUGAAUACUGCCAACUCUAUUAUUAUUCAAGCUCACAUUAAGCAAGAGUUUAAUUCUACCACCUUUACCUGUAAUGAUUAUGCUAUAAGAUAAUCCAAUCCAAUCCAAUAAUCUUACAUACUACUCAGCUCAAACUAGGGUGACAGUCAACUCAGUAACAUUUUGACAAGAAAUGAUGCAUUGCAAUAAAUGGCAUGGCAUUUUGCAGCCAAUUUUCACAAUGACAUCAGGAAAUCACUCUUGGUGCGUUAAGAAAAAGUUUGGAUCACUCAUCUCUGCACCAGAAACUUUCUUUUUUACAUUCUCCAUAGACCCUUGCAAUUUCUCCAGCAUUGUGAGCUUGUGAAAUGGGACAACAGAGCAUUGGCUGAAAGUAUAAACCUGAGUUGGGUUUUUGAAUUUAACCUCACAGGAGGAAAUAAGUAAAUCAACUAAAGUAGACAAAUAAUACAGCAUCCAAACAAACAGAACUCCUCAUUUUGUCAUUAGCAGUGUGAUUUAAUACUUUAAUACCCAAUGCAAAACCGGAAAGAACUACCCAGGCUGAAAUUGCACAUCCUGUUGAUCUAUACUUUCCAAACCCAGCACAGAUGCCCUGUGCACUUACCCCUGAAGUGCAUUGCUUUAUUUCUGUCAGCCUUUUAAUUCUCACGAGCCACUGCACCUUU